Molecule: ribosomal RNA, 368 nt
Filed under: uncultured organism
Description: bacterial LSU rRNA
Rfam family: Bacterial large subunit ribosomal RNA
Source: RNAcentral
CUUUACUGUAGCUUUACAUUGGACUUUGACGGGACUUGUGUAGGAUAGGUGGGAGGCUGUGAGACGUGGUCGCUAGAUCACGAGGAGCCGACGUUGAAAUACCACCCUGGUGUCGUUGAGGUUCUAACCUUGGACCGUGAAUCCGGUUCGGGGACCGUGUAUGGUAGGCAGUUUGACUGGGGCGGUCUCCUCCCAAAGUGUAACGGAGGAGUUCGAAGGUCUCCUAGGUACGGUCGGACAUCGUACUAAUAGUGCAAUGGCAAAAGGAGGCUUAACUGCGAGACCGACAAGUCGAGCAGGUGCGAAAGCAGGACAUAGUGAUCCGGUGGUUCUGAAUGGAAGGGCCAUCGCUCAACGGAUAAAAGGUA